This 776-nucleotide ribosomal RNA is filed under the name uncultured Neocallimastigales. RNAcentral describes it as "partial large subunit ribosomal RNA". It matches the Rfam family "Eukaryotic large subunit ribosomal RNA", at positions 26 to 643 of the family's 3401-position model. Lineage: Eukaryota; Fungi; Neocallimastigomycota; Neocallimastigomycetes; Neocallimastigales. The record is from RNAcentral.
CGCAUCUGUGCAUGCAGCAUAUCAAUAAGCGGAGGAAAAGAAACUAACAAGGAUUCCCUUAGUAACGGCGAGUGAAGCGGGAAGAGCUCAAAUUUGAAAUCUUCAAGGUUUUACCUUGACGAAUUGUAGUUUAAAGAAGUGUUUUCUGUUGAAGUUUUGGUAAAAGUUCUUUGGAAUAGGACAUCAUAGAGGGUGAGAAUCCCGUAUUUGACCAUUAUUUUCAGCUGUGUGAUACACUUUCAAAGAGUCGGACUGUUUGGGAAUGCAGUCCAAAAUGGGUGGUAAAUUUCAUCUAAAGCUAAAUAUUGGCGAGAGACCGAUAGCGAACAAGUACCGUGAGGGAAAGAUGAAAAGAACUUUGAAAAGAGAGUUAAACAGUACGUGAAAUUGUCAAAAGGGAAGCGUUUGACACCAGUGUUGUUUUCUCGAAAAUCAAUUAAAAAGAGUUUAGAUUUUGUUGUGUAUUGACCUUAACAGCUUGCAUUUCAAUUUUCUUGCUUUUUUUAAUGCACUUUUCGUUUAACAAGUCAACAUCAGUUUCUUUUGUUGUAAAAAGGUCAUUGGAAGGUGGCUUUCUUUUCGGAGAAAGUGUUUAUAGCCUUUGACUCCUGCAAUCGGAGAGACUGAGGUCUGCAGCGUAGAUCCUUCGGGGUUAGAUACAUUUGUGCUAAGUUAUAGCUUUUUAUAGACAACUUGUUGACUAUGGAUUAGUCUUGUAGCUUACUCGCUUAUGCUAUUUUACCUACGCUUAGGAUGUUGACACACGCGCGUGCUCG